Molecule: long non-coding RNA, 680 nt
Organism: Candoia aspera
Lineage: Eukaryota; Metazoa; Chordata; Lepidosauria; Squamata; Candoiidae
Exons: 2
Source: RefSeq, a predicted model, not a curated record
GGGGGCAUGGGAGGAGGUUACAGCCUCGCUCUCAGAUAGAGGGCAACGGCCACGCCUUCCCUCCCAUCCAGCGCUGCCUCGUGAUUGGCUAUUCCUCAGCGGCGGGCGGGACGCCGGAGCCCUUGGGUGGAGAGACAUACGCAAAUGAAGGAGGGCGGAAAGGUGGAGCGGUCGGGAAGGAAAGGGAGAGUGGAAGGCCUGGCGCGCGCUCGCGGAGCUUUCGAUUCUCCGCGCCAGGGGGAACCACGCACCCUUCUCCCCAACCAGAUGGGGCCCCAGUAGUCAUUUCAAGAGCAGAGGUGGCACAGAUGGCUCUCGACGUGGACCAAAAAGCGGGGUUCCCUCGUUUACGCGCGGCAGAAGAAUAUUCAGCGAUCCCCAUGUUUCUUUGAUGGGUUUCUGUCCCCCCCUCCAUAGAGGAGGCAAAUGAUCUGGGCGGAGUCGGGAGCGCCUGCGUCUGUUGCCUUUCCUGCGACUGCGAAAGGCCGUUCAGAAAACGGCGGUGAGCUCUGAACAGACCAACUGACAAGAUGAAAUUUUAAAACAAUACAGUAGUUUUUCUAUUUUAUAAUAUAGAAUUAAUUAAAAAAAAAACCUAAAUCAGUUAAAAUAACUAGAGUUUUAAACAAUCCAAUUUAUAAAAUAAAGAUGGACCUUCAUUCCUUUGAAAGCACCUGGAA